This 470-nucleotide ribosomal RNA is filed under the name uncultured organism. RNAcentral's name for it is "partial 16S ribosomal RNA". It matches the Rfam family "Bacterial small subunit ribosomal RNA", at positions 334 to 800 of the family's 1533-position model. The record is from RNAcentral.
CACUCCUGCGGGAGGCAGCAGUGAGGAAUAUUGGACAAUGGGUGGAAGCCUGAUCCAGCCAUCCCGCGUGCAGGAAGACGGCCCUAUGGGUUGUAAACUGCUUUUAUCUGGGGAUAAACCUACUUACGUGUAAGUAGCUGAAGGUACCAGAAGAAUAAGCACCGGCUAACUCCGUGCCAGCAGCCGCGGUAAUACGGAGGGUGCAAGCGUUAUCCGGAUUUAUUGGGUUUAAAGGGUCCGUAGGCGGACUGAUAAGUCAGUGGUGAAAUCCGACAGCUUAACUGUCGAACUGCCAUUGAUACUGUUAGUCUUGAGUAAGGUUGAAGUGGCUGGAAUAAGUAGUGUAGCGGUGAAAUGCAUAGAUAUUACUUAGAACACCAAUUGCGAAGGCAGGUCACUAAGUCUUAACUGACGCUGAUGGACGAAAGCGUGGGGAGCGAACAGGAUUAGAAACCCUGGUAGUCCCAUGA